GCUUCGCGGGCGGCGGCGGAGCGGACGACAUGGGCGCCGGCCACCACCACGGCGCGCACCACGCCGCCCACCACCACCACGCCGCCCACCACCACCACCACCAUGGCGGCGCGGGACACGGCGGUGGCGCGGGCCACCACAUGCGCCUGGAGGAGCGCUUCUCCGACGACCAGCUGGUGUCCAUGUCGGUGCGCGAGCUGAACCGGCAGCUCCGCGGCUUCAGCAAGGAGGAGGUCAUCCGGCUCAAGCAGAAGCGGCGCACGCUCAAGAACCGCGGCUACGCGCAGUCCUGCCGCUUCAAGCGGGUGCAGCAGCGGCACAUUCUGGAGAGCGAGAAGUGCCAACUCCAGAGCCAGGUGGAGCAGCUGAAGCUGGAGGGAGAAGGAGCAAGGUGAGGAGGCUUCUCCACCGUGAGUCUCAGACGGAGAGCUGUGCCCUCAUUCACCUUUGGAACCUCUGACCUGAGGCACCUUGAGACGCAAUAAUAUUAAUACCUUAACUGCAAGACUCCGCGACUCACAGAGAGAUGUAAGU
This 534-nucleotide small RNA is filed under the name Pan troglodytes (chimpanzee). RNAcentral describes it as "processed transcript". Lineage: Eukaryota; Metazoa; Chordata; Mammalia; Primates; Hominidae. The record is from RNAcentral.